RNAcentral lists this ribosomal RNA (253 nucleotides) under uncultured bacterium. Its description in RNAcentral is "partial 16S ribosomal RNA". It matches the Rfam family "Bacterial small subunit ribosomal RNA", at positions 524 to 776 of the family's 1533-position model. The record is from RNAcentral.
GACAGAGGGGGCAAGCGUUGCUCGGAAUCACUGGGCGUAAAGGGCGCGUAGGCGGGAUGGCAAGUCGGUCGUGAAAUCCUUCGGCUCAACCGAAGAACGUCGGCCGAUACUGCCGUUCUUGAGGGAUGCAGAGGAGAUUGGAAUUCCCGGUGUAGCGGUGAAAUGUGUAGAGAUCGGGAGGAACACCAGAGGCGAAGGCGGCGACCUGGACAGGCACUGACACUCAACUACGAAAGCGUGGGGAGCAAACAGG